Xenia sp. Carnegie-2017 is the source of this 94-nucleotide long non-coding RNA. RefSeq lists it as uncharacterized. The record is from RefSeq and is a predicted model, not a curated record. The transcript is spliced from 3 exons. Lineage: Eukaryota; Metazoa; Cnidaria; Anthozoa; Malacalcyonacea; Xeniidae.
UAAAUUUACACAAUUUGAGAGAAGCAAUAAUACAUCCAGGCAAACUUCCAAUAUAUAAUAUACAUUUAUACUAAGCACAUUUUCUCUGCGUUGA